CGGAUUUCCAGAGCGAGGAGGCAUACUCGGUUACCACACACUAAACACGCCUUCAGACAAGAGUGGUUAACCCUAACUGGUGCCACUUCGCUCUGGAAUUCCGGGGAAAGUCACUCUCGAGGGGUCCCAAUUCUCUUUAGCAAACGGAUACGGGUUAACACGCAGAUGGACGAAAAUGUUAGAAUAAUCGCAGCGGACUCUUCAAUUUAAAGUCCCACGUAGUUAAUAUUUACACACCAUGUUCGAGCGAAGGAAAAGCUCACACGCUCUUCCUCUAUAACGACACUAACACAUAUGUCUCAAGUAACUGCGAAACGAUAAUGGCAGGAGACACUUUUUAACACGGUCGGAAAUGUCGAACUAGAUAGACACCACCCACAAUAUAGGAAAUACGACGAAUCCGAACGCCCUAAAAAAAAGCAUUAUAGCAAUCUUCGACUUAAGACGAGCGUUCUGAAAGCGUCUUAGGACAAUAUACUCGGCCACAAGCGGGAACUCAAACGGGAAUAGAUCACGUAUGUGUAUACGUAGAUCCCAAGACAUAGCGCAGCGAAUGCAACAAGAACGGUCGACACUGCGAACUAGACUAGAGAGAGCGUCACGAUCGAUCUCGCUAGAGGUACGGGAAGCGAAGCGGAUUAUAACGCCUAAAGACGGAAAAACACGCAGAUGGAAGAAAACGGUAGAAUAAGGGAGUUUAAAUUGAACCAUAUAAAAGCGGAGUUUAAAUUGAACCAUAUAAAAGUCCCACGUAGUUAAUAUACACACUAUGUUCGAGCGAAGGAAAAGCUCACACGCUCUUCCUCUAUAACGACACUAACACAUAUGUCUCAAGUAACUGCGAAACGAUAAUGGCAGGAGACACUUUUUAACACGGUCGGAAAUGUCGAACUAGAUAGACACCACCCACAAUAUAGGAAAUACGACGAAUCCGAACGCCCUAAAAAAAAGCAUUAUAGCAAUCUUCGACUUAAGACGAGCGUUCUGAAAGCGUCUUAGGACAAUAUACUCGGCCACAAGCGGGAACUCAAACGGGAAUAGAUCACGUAUGUGUAUACUUAGAUCCCAAGACAUAGCGCAGCAAAUGCAACAAGAACGGUCGAUACUGCCAACUAGACUAGAGAGAGGGUCACGAUCGACCUCGCGAGACGUACGGAAAGCGAAGCGGAUUAUAAACGCCUAAAGACGGAAAUAAGAAAUCACGACAAACAAAUACAAAAAUCAAGAUCCCAAGACAUAGCGCAGCAAAUGCAACAAGAACGGUCGAUACUGCAAACUAGACUAGAGAGAGGGUCACGAUCGACCUCGCGAGACGUACGGAAAGCGAAGCGGAUUAUAAACGCCUAAAGACGGAAAUAAGAAAUCACGACAAACAAAUACAAAAAUCAAGAUCCCAAGACAUAGCGCAGCAAAUGCAACAAGAACGGUCGAUACUGCAAACUAGACUAGAGAGAGGGUCACGAUCGACCUCGCGAGACGUACGGAAAGCGAAGCGGAUUAUAAACGCCUAAAGACGGAAAUACGAAAUCACGACAAACA
Non-coding RNA from Ciona intestinalis (vase tunicate), 1539 nucleotides. The record is from RefSeq and is a predicted model, not a curated record. Lineage: Eukaryota; Metazoa; Chordata; Ascidiacea; Phlebobranchia; Cionidae.